This 406-nucleotide ribosomal RNA is filed under the name uncultured bacterium. RNAcentral describes it as "partial 16S ribosomal RNA". It matches the Rfam family "Bacterial small subunit ribosomal RNA", at positions 30 to 525 of the family's 1533-position model. The record is from RNAcentral.
AUUGAACGCUGGCGGCGUGCCUAAUACAUGCAAGUCGAACGCAGUUGCGAACGGGUGAGUAACGCGUAGGUAACUGCCUCAUAGCGGGGGAUAACUCUUGGAAACGAUAGCUAUUCCCCCUUACUUUGCGAUGUACCUGCGUUGUAUUAGCUAGUUGGGGAGGUAAAGGCGCACCAAGGCGACGAUACAUAGCCGACCUGAGAGGGUGAUCGGCCACACUGGGACUGAGACACGGCCCAGACUCCUACGGGAGGCAGCAGUAGGGAAUCUUCGGCAAUGGACGGAAGUCUGACCGAGCAACGCCGCGUGAAUGAAGAAGGUUUUCGGAUCGUAAAGCUCUGUUGUUAGAGAAGCGGAAACGAACAAGAAAGGGACGGCUAACUACGUGCAAGCAGCGGCGGUAAAU